RNAcentral lists this transfer RNA (85 nucleotides) under Nocardioides marinus. RNAcentral describes it as "tRNA-Leu". It matches the Rfam family "tRNA". From Rfam's summary of the family: Transfer RNA (tRNA) molecules are approximately 80 nucleotides in length. Their secondary structure includes four short double-helical elements and three loops (D, anti-codon, and T loops). The record is from RNAcentral. RNAcentral also lists the same sequence under 1 other name. Lineage: Bacteria; Bacillati; Actinomycetota; Actinomycetes; Propionibacteriales; Nocardioidaceae.
GCCGGGUUGGUGGAAUGGCAGACACGGCGCUCUCAAAAAGCGCUGCCCACAGGGCGUGCGGGUUCGACUCCCGCACCCGGCACCA